CAGUAGCCGCGGUAAUACGUAGGUGGCAAGCGUUGUCCGGAAUUAUUGGGCGUAAAGGGCUCGCAGGCGGUUGCUUAAGUCUGAUGUGAAAGCCCCCGGCUCAACCGGGGAGGGUCAUUGGAAACUGGGAAACUUGAGUGCAGAAGAGGAGAGUGGAAUUCCACGUGUAGCGGUGAAAUGCGUAGAGAUGUGGAGGAACACCAGUAGCGAAGGCGACUCUCUGGUCUGUAACUGACGCUGAGGAGCGAAAGCGUGGGGAGCGAACAGGAUUAGAUACCCCGGUAGUCCCUGUCUCUUAUAC
RNAcentral lists this ribosomal RNA (301 nucleotides) under uncultured bacterium. RNAcentral describes it as "partial 16S ribosomal RNA". It matches the Rfam family "Bacterial small subunit ribosomal RNA", at positions 509 to 807 of the family's 1533-position model. The record is from RNAcentral.